RNAcentral lists this transfer RNA (75 nucleotides) under Methanosphaera sp. rholeuAM6. It matches the Rfam family "tRNA". From Rfam's summary of the family: Transfer RNA (tRNA) molecules are approximately 80 nucleotides in length. Their secondary structure includes four short double-helical elements and three loops (D, anti-codon, and T loops). The record is from Rfam by way of RNAcentral. Lineage: Archaea; Methanobacteriati; Methanobacteriota; Methanobacteria; Methanobacteriales; Methanobacteriaceae.
GGGCCUGUAGCCUAGCCUGGAUAGGGUGUUGGACUUCUAAUCCAAAGACCGUGGGUUCAAAUCCCACCAGGUCCG